CUCCAGACUCCUACGGGAGGCAGCAGUGAGGAAUAUUGGUCAAUGGGCGGAAGCCUGAACCAGCCAAGUCGCGUGAGGGAAUAAGGCCCUACGGGUCGUAAACCUCUUUUGUCAGGGAACAAAGGCGGGGACGCGUCCCCGGAUGAGUGUACCUGAAGAAAAAGCAUCGGCUAACUCCGUGCCAGCAGCCGCGGUAAUACGGAGGAUGCGAGCGUUAUCCGGAUUUAUUGGGUUUAAAGGGUGCGCAGGCGGCCUGUUAAGUCAGCGGUCAAAGCCCGGGGCUCAACCCCGGUCCGCCGUUGAAACUGGCAGUCUCGAGUUGGAGAGAAGUAUGCGGAAUGCGCGGUGUAGCGGUGAAAUGCAUAGAUAUCGCGCAGAACUCCGAUUGCGAAGGCAGCAUGCCGGCUCCACACUGACGCUGAGGCACGAAAGCGUGGGUAUCGAACAGGAUUAGAUACCCGCGUA
RNAcentral lists this ribosomal RNA (465 nucleotides) under uncultured bacterium. RNAcentral describes it as "bacterial SSU rRNA". It matches the Rfam family "Bacterial small subunit ribosomal RNA", at positions 329 to 792 of the family's 1533-position model. The record is from RNAcentral.